UUUCGAAUCAUUCACAAUGGGCGAAAGCCUGAUGGUGCGACGCCGCGUGGGGGACGAAGGUCUUCGGAUUGUAAACCCCUGUCACCGGGGAAGAAACGCUACUUUUUAACAGAACGUAGCCUGACUUAACCCGGAGAGGAAGCAGUGGCUAACUCUGUGCCAGCAGCCGCGGUAAUACAGAGACUGCAAGCGUUAUUCGGAUUCACUGGGCGUAAAGGGUGCGCAGGCGGCCGUGUGUGUCAGAUGUGAAAGCCCGGGGCUUAACCCCGGAAUUGCGUCUGAAACUACAUGGCUAGAGCAUUGGAGAGGGUAGCAGAAUUCACGGUGUAGCAGUGAAAUGCGUAGAUAUCGUGAGGAAUACCAGAGGCGAAGGCGGCUACCUGGACAAUUGCUGACGCUCAGGCACGAAAGCGUGGGGAGCAAAAG
This 426-nucleotide ribosomal RNA is filed under the name uncultured prokaryote. RNAcentral's name for it is "bacterial SSU rRNA". It matches the Rfam family "Bacterial small subunit ribosomal RNA", at positions 355 to 774 of the family's 1533-position model. The record is from RNAcentral.